Molecule: ribosomal RNA, 309 nt
Filed under: uncultured eukaryote
Lineage: Eukaryota
Description: partial 18S ribosomal RNA
Rfam family: Eukaryotic small subunit ribosomal RNA
Source: RNAcentral
CCCUUAGAUGUUCUGGGCGGCCCGCGCACUACAAUGGCGUGUGCAGCGAGUGCCGAAGUAGAGUUUUCCGAGGUAUUCUUGCAAUGCUCGUUUUGAUGGGGAUAGACCCUUGCAACUGUUGGUUUUGAACGAGGAAUUCCGUGUAAGCAUGGUUUAUCAUCCGACGCUGAAUGCGUCCCUGCCCUUUGUACACACCGCCCGUCGCUCCUACCGAUGAGUCGUCCGGUGAAGUUCGUAGACCUCGUGAUCGCGGAUCACUGGGGGAAGCAAAAUGAACCUCGCGGUUUAGAGGAAGGAGAAGUCGUAACA